This is an RNA transcript of Stegostoma tigrinum, 5713 nucleotides long. It is a transcript of the gene named long-chain-fatty-acid--CoA ligase ACSBG2-like, with no coding region annotated. The record is from RefSeq and is a predicted model, not a curated record. The transcript has 16 exons. NCBI's taxonomy places the organism in Eukaryota, Metazoa, Chordata, Chondrichthyes, Orectolobiformes, Stegostomatidae.
AUCCCCAAGGAAGAGAAGCAUAAUUGUGAUGAUGCCACAUUAAUGCUGUGUGACAUAGGUGUGUGCUGUACCGAAUGCUCUCUUGUUUUUAGUUCUGGAAUGUCUAGCAAGAGGAAGCAGCUGCCCAACAUACAGCCUGUCAAACUCUUUUCCGUGUUUCAGGAUGGUCACUUCUUAUUUUACCAAACUCUAGGGAAAAUUUUGUUGCCUUUAAAAGCUUGUUCUAAACAAUAUCCUUCAGAUGGGGGAAGUCUUUGAUUGCAGCCCCUGGCUGAAUAAUGCAGGAGGGGAUACAAGGGCCUUACAUGAUGGCAAAGGUGAGGAAGAACUACUGCAGAGUAGAAGUGAACAACAGGGAUUUAUAGAUCAAGCUGAAAUCCCGUUGGGAAUGGAAAAUAAAAAUCCUGAGCAAGUGCCUUCACUUCAGAAAGAAGAGCCCCCUACAGAUGCAGCUAGAUUGGGAGAUUUUAACAAUUCAAACUCUGUCAAGAAAAAUGUAGAAUCAACUGCUGAAGGACAACAAGCUCAAACAUCCUCUCCAACAGAUUCAAUACAACAUCCUACUAAACUGGCUCCUGCAACUAAACUAUGGACCACGUUGCGAGAUGGUGCAGUUCAGCUCCGAAUGGAAGAGACCUGUUGUGGUGCUGAGUCACCCCUAACUAUUGCCCAAAUGUUUAAUCAAUCAGUGGCAAAUCAUGGUAACCGUGUUGCUCUCAGUUUCUUGCUGAGAAAUCAUUGGGAAACACUAACCUAUUCUCAGUAUUACAAAGAAUGUAGAAAAGCAGCAAAAAGCUUUCUUAAGCUUGGUCUCCAACGUUUCCAUGGAGUUGGCAUCCUGGGAUUCAACUCUCCAGAGUGGGUUAUUGCAAAUAUUGGAGCAAUUUUAGCAGGUGGUUUGGCUGUUGGGAUUUAUGCAACAAAUUCUCCAGAAGCAUGCAAGCAUGUGGCACAUCACUGUGAAGCUAAUAUUCUAGUGGUGGAGAACCAUAACCAGCUGCUGAAAAUUCUGCAGAUUGCACAUCUGUUGCCUCACCUCAAAGCAAUUGUUCAGUACAAGUUUGCAGUGGAAGAACACAAACGAAAUAUUUUCACUUGGAAGGAAUUUCUGGAACUUGGGAAGAGUGUUUCUGAUGAAGUGUUGGAUGAAGUUAUAGAGUCUCAGAAUGCCAACCAAUGUUGCACACUAAUCUAUACUUCUGGAACAACAGGAGUUCCUAAAGGAGCGAUGCUUAGCCACGAUAAUUUGACCUGGACGGCUAAGACAGCAGGGAAGGUGGUGGGUCUUCAAGCUAUGGGGAAAGUACAGGAAAGAGUUGUUAGUUUUCUUCCAAUGAGUCAUAUUGCAGCACAGAUGAUGGAUAUCUGGAUUCCAAUGAAGUUUGGAGCUGCAACUUACUUUGCACAGCCAGAUGCGCUCAAGGGUACCUUAUUGUAUACUUUAAGAGAAGUACGUCCCACAGCCUUUUUAGGUGUGCCUCGUGUUUGGGAGAAAAUGGAGGAAAAAAUGAAAGAUGCUGGUGCUGAAUCGUCUGCUUUGAAAAGAAAGAUAAUUAAGUGGGCGAAGGGUAUUGGCCUGCAAACAAGUUAUAAUAUGAUGGAAGGAAGCACAUUGCAGCCCUUUGGAUACACCUUGGCAAAUCAGCUGGUAUUUAAGAAAGUUCGUGUCUUAUUGGGCCUGGACCAAUGUAGCAAGUGCUUUACAGGAGCAGCGCCUAUUACCAAAGAAACACUAGAGUACUUCCUAAGCCUUCGCAUCACAAUUUUUGAGCUUUAUGGGAUGAGUGAGAGUUCAGGUCCACACACCAUCUCUCAUCAAGACUUCUAUCGAAUUACAAGCUGUGGAAAGGAGAUGAUGGGAUGCAAAACUAAGAUAGACAAACCGAGUGAAGAAGGCACUGGAGAAGUAUGCUUUUGGGGAAGACAUGUCUUCAUGGGAUACUUGAAUAUGCCCGAACAGACGAAUGAAGCUCUAGAUGAAAUGGGCUGGUUGCACUCAGGAGACGUGGGAAGAUUUGAUGAAGAUGGAUUUCUUUACAUCACAGGCAGAAUAAAAGAGUUGUUAAUCACAGCUGGUGGAGAGAACAUAGCUCCAGUCCCCAUCGAGGAUGCUGUUAAGGCAAAACUUCCUAUCAUUAGCAAUGCCAUGCUAAUUGGUGAUAAAAGGAAAUUCCUCUCCAUGCUUCUCACUUUGAAGACUUACAUGGAUGAUGAAACAGGAGCCCCACUAGAUCAGCUGGCUCCGGCAGCAGUUGCAUUUUGCCGUAGGUUUGGAUGCCCAGCUAAUACCGUGUCAGAGGUUUUAAGGAUGCGUGAUCCUUCAGUUUACAAAGCCAUUCAGAAUGGAAUUGAUGCUGUCAAUAAAGAUGCCAUAUCUAAGGCUCAGCAAAUUCAAAAGUGGAUCAUUUUGAAAAAAGACUUCUCGAUUGUUGGAGGAGAGCUAGGAUUGGCUGGCAGCCUGGAGCGACCAGAGACAAAGCGAAGAAACAGCACUCUCUCCUCAUUAGAAAACUCUUGCAACGUUUGCCACAGCCAAUUCAGUAGUUGAUGGUUUUCAACAAUGUCACGGUAACGCACAACUUUCUUUAAGAAGUUGGGGCUGUCUUCCAUAAAGACAGAUGAAAGUUAGGAGGAAAUGUGAUAGAGGAGUCCAAAAUCACUGAGGCCUAUAGAUACACCAAAUAAGAAAAACUUCCUACUGGCUGUAAGGUGAAGGACCAGAAGACAUGAAGUUAAGGUGGCAGCUAAAGAACCAAAGACAAAUUGGGAAGUGGACGUCACUGGCUGGCUAGCAGUUCUUGCCUGUUCCUAGUUGUCCUUGAGAAGAUGGUGGUGAGCUGCCUUCUUGAACCGCUGCAGUCCACCUGCUGUGGGUUGACCCACAGUGCCAUUAGGAAGGGAAUUCCAGGAUUGUGACCCAGCAACAACAAACGUACAGCAGUAUAUUUCCCAGUCAUCACGAGGAGUGACUUGGAGGGGAACUUGAAUGUGGUACUAUUUUUAUGUAUCUGCUGCCCUUGUCCUUCUAGAUGAAAGUAGUAAUGGAUCUGGAAAGUGCUGCCUGAGGAUCUCUGGUGAAUUUCUGCUCCUUAUAGAUAUUACACACUGCUGUUACUGAGGGUCGGUAGUGGAGGAAGCGGAUGUUUCUGGAUGUGGUGCCAAUCAAGUGGGCUUUGACCUGGAUGACAUCAAGUUUCUUGAGUGCCAUUGGAGCUAUAUCAUCCAGGCAAGUGGGGAGUACUCCAUGAUGGUCCUGAUUUUGCUUUGUAGAUGAUGGGCAGACUUUGGGAAGUCAGAUGGUGAAUUACUCGCCAUAGUAUUCCUAGCCUCCAACCUGCCCUUGUAGCCACUGUAUUUAUUUUCAAGUCCAUUUGAGUUUCUGGUCAAUGGUAACCCCCAGGGAUGUUGAGGGAUUCAAUGCUGGUAACACAAUUGAAAGUCAAGGGAUGGUAGUUAGAUUGUCUCUUAUUAGGUGAUGAUCAUAGACUAGCAUUUGUGUGGCAUUAAUGUUGUCAGCCCAAGCCUGGAUAACGUCCAGAUCUAGUUGUAUUUGAAUUUGGACUGCUUCAGUAUCUGAAAAGUCAUGAAUGGUUUGAACAUUGUACAAUCAUCAGCAAACAUUCCCAAUUCUGACCUUAUGAUGGAGGGAAGGUCAUUGAUAAAGCAGCUGAAGACAGUUGGGCUGAAAAUGAUCCAUAAUCUAUUUACCUAAAACAAACAGUGAAUGAUGGAGAAACUCAGCAGGUCAAGCAGCUUGUGGAAAGAGACUGUUAAUGUUUUAUGUCCAGCAUGACUUGUUCAGAACUGCUGCAGUAGACUUUUAUGAGUUUUUGCAGCAUUCUCUGUGCAUGUUUGCAGACGACACAAAGGUCGGAGGUGUCGUUGACAGUAUAGAGGGCUGUUGUAGGCUGCAGCGGGACAUUGACAGGAUGCAGAGAUGGGCUGAGAGGUGGCAGAUGGAGUUCAACCUGGAUAAAUGUGAGGUGAUGCAUUUUGGAAGGUCGAAUUUGAAAGCUGAGUACAGGAUUAAGGAUAGGAUUCUUGGCAGUGUGGAGGAACAGAGGGAUCUUGGUGUGCAGAUACAUAGAUCCCUUAAAAUGGCCACCCAAGUGGACAGGGUUGUUAAGAAAGCAUAUGGUGUUUUGGCUUUCAUUAACAGGGGCAUUGAGUUUAAGAGUCGUGAGAUCUUGUUGCAGCUCUGUAAAGCUUUGGUUAGACCGCACUUGGAAUACUGCGUCCAGUCUGGUCGCCGUAUUAUAGGAAAGAUGUGGAUGCUUUGGAGAGGGUUCAGAGGAGGUUUACCAGGAUGCUGCCUGGACUGGAGGGCUUAUCUUAUGAAGAGAGGUUGACUGAGCUUGGUCUCUUUUCAUUGGAGAAAAGGAGGAGGAGAGGGGACCUAAUUGAGGUAUACAAGAUAAUGAGAGGCAUAGAUAGAGUUGAUAGCCAGAGACUAUUUCCCAGGGCAGAAAUGGCUAGCACGAGGGGUCAUAGUUUUAAGCUGGUUGGUGGAAAGUAUAGAGGGGAUGUCAGAGGCGGGUUCUUUACACAGAGUUGAGAGAGCAUGGAAUGCGUUGCCAGCAGCAGUUGUGGAAGCAAGGUCAUUGGGGUCAUUUAAGAGACUGCUGGACAUGCAUAUGGUCACAGAAAUUUGAGGGUGCAUACAUGAGGAUCAAUGGUUGGCACAACAUUGUGGGCUGAAAGGCCUGUUCUGUGCUGUACUGUUCUAUGUUCUAUGUUGUUUCAAGUUUCCAGCAUCCAUUGUACUUUUUUCAUCUAUUUAACUAACUUCAGUCUCUUCACAGAAUACUUCACUCUGGAGGUGCCAAGAAGGAGAAAUGGAGUAAGUUGGCUCUGUGGAGAUGCUCACCCUUUUCUUUCAGUGGCUGAUGGGAAAUAUUCAUCCUGGAGUUCAGUUACUAGUGGUGUACCACAAGGAAGUGCUUUGGGGCCACUGCUGUUUGUCAUUUUUAUAAAUGACCUGGAUGAGGGUGUAGAAGGACGGGUUAGUAAAUUUGCAGAUGACACUAAAGUCGGUGGAAUUCUGGAUAGUGCGAAGGAUGUUGCAGGUUACUGAGGGACACAGAUAAGAUGCAGAGCUGGGCUGAGAGGUGGCAAAUGGAGUUUAAUGCGGAAAAGUGUGAGGUGAUUCACUUUGGAAGGGGUAACAGGAAUACAGAGUACUGGGCUAAUGGUAAGAUUCUUGUUAGUGUUGAUGAGCAGACAGAUCUUGGUGCCCAUGUGCAUAGAUCCCUGAAAGUUGCCACCCAGGUUGAUAGGGUUGUUAGGAAGGCAUACGAUGUGUUAUGUUUUAUUGGUAGAGAGAUUGAGUUUUGGAGCCAUGAGGUCAUGUUGCAGCUGUACAAAACUCUGGUGCAGCUGCACUUGGAGGAUUGUGUGCCUUUCUGGUCGCCACAUUAUAGGAAGGAUGUGGAAGCAUUGGAAAGGGCGCAGAGGAGAUUUACCUGGUAUGGAGGGAAGGUCUUAUGAGGAAAGGCUGAGGGACUUGACGCUGUUUUCAUUAGGGAGAAGAAGGUUGAGAGGUGACUUAAUAUAGAUAUACAAGAUGAUCUGAGGAUUAGAUAGGGCGGACAGUGAAAGCCUUUGUCCUCAGUUGGUGAUGGCUAGCACGAGGGGACAUAGCUUCAAAUUGAGGGGUGAUAGAUAUAGGACAGAUGUCUGAGGUAGGUUCUUUACUCAGGAGUAGUGAGGGCGU